RNAcentral lists this small nuclear RNA (106 nucleotides) under Choloepus hoffmanni (Hoffmann's two-fingered sloth). The record is from RNAcentral. Lineage: Eukaryota; Metazoa; Chordata; Mammalia; Pilosa; Megalonychidae.
GUCCUCACUACAGCAGUUCAAAUUAUAAAUUUAGAAGGAUGCAGAAAAAAUUAAUGAGGCCCUGUGCAAGGAUGAUGCACAUAUUUUUGAGACUCCUCACUAUUUG